AAUAGAUCUAAGAGUCUUAGGUUUCCAGUAUUAAUAUCUUGUGCACAUAUUUGCAGGAGACUGUUUCUAGGUCAAAUUAGCACAUGCAGGCUGAGAUCUGUGCUGGGAUGUUUUAAGUUCCAGUGGAAAUGUCAUCAGGCAAAGCAGCGGAAAACCAAGAUGCAGCUCUGUGACGAUUCCACGGUAUCCAGACCAGCUGAUAAUCAGUUAUUCAAGGUCAGUUUAAGAACCAAGUCAUCUUUCCUUUCAACCACCACCACCACAACAUCCACACAGAGGAAUUCUCUGCCUUCAGGGAGCUGGGGCCAUGUGAGUCACAGUCUCUAGGUAAGCAUCAUCUCAAUGUAUGUGCAUGUGUGCAUGUGAGUGUGC
This 372-nucleotide long non-coding RNA is filed under the name Rattus norvegicus (Norway rat). RNAcentral describes it as "long non-coding RNA NONRATT032681". Lineage: Eukaryota; Metazoa; Chordata; Mammalia; Rodentia; Muridae. The record is from RNAcentral.